Molecule: ribosomal RNA, 492 nt
Filed under: uncultured bacterium
Lineage: Bacteria
Description: partial 16S ribosomal RNA
Rfam family: Bacterial small subunit ribosomal RNA
Source: RNAcentral
AGUGAACGCUGGCGGUAGGCCUAACACAUGCAAGUCGAACGGCAGCACAGUAAGAGCUUGCUCUUACGGGUGGCGAGUGUCGGACGGGUGAGUAAUACAUCGGAAUCUACUUUUUCGUGGGGGAUAACGUAGGGAAACUUACGCUAAUACCGCAUACGACCUACGGGUGAAAGCAGGGGAUCUUCGGACCUUGCGCGAUUGAAUGAGCCGAUGUCGGAUUAGCUAGUUGGCGGGGUAAAGGCCCACCAAGGCGACGAUCCGUAGCUGGUCUGAGAGGAUGAUCAGACACACUGGAACUGAGACACGGUCCAGACUCCUACGGGAGGAAGCAGUGGGGAAUAUUGGACAAUGGGCGAAAGCCUGAUCCAGCAAUACCGCGUGGGUGAAGAAGGACUUCGGGUUGUAAAGCCCUUUUGUUGGGAAAGAAAAGCAGCAGGUUAAUACCCCGCUGCUCUGACGGUACCCAAAGAAUAAGCACCGGCUAACUUCGUG